CCUACGGGAGGCAGCAGUGAGGAAUAUUGGUCAAUGGCCGCAGGGCUGAACCAGCCAAGUCGCGUGAGGGAUGACGGUCCUAUGGAUUGUAAACCUCUUUUGUAAGGGAGCAAAGGGCGCCACGUGUGGCGCUUUGCGAGUACCUGAAGAAAAAGCAUCGGCUAACUCCGUGCCAGCAGCCGCGGUAAUACGGAGGAUGCGAGCGUUAUCCGGAUUUAUUGGGUUUAAAGGGUGCGCAGGCGGAAUGUAAAGUCAGCGGUAAAAUUUCGGGGCUCAACCCCGUCGUGCCGUUGAAACUGGCGUUCUUGAGUGAGCGAGAAGUAUGCGGAAUGCGUGGUGUAGCGGUGAAAUGCAUAGAUAUCACGCAGAACUCCGAUUGCGAAGGCAGCAUACCGGCGCUCAACUGACGCUCAUGCACGAAAGCGUGGGUAUCGAACAGGAUUAGAUACCCGAGUAGUC
RNAcentral lists this ribosomal RNA (459 nucleotides) under uncultured bacterium. RNAcentral describes it as "partial 16S ribosomal RNA". It matches the Rfam family "Bacterial small subunit ribosomal RNA", at positions 338 to 795 of the family's 1533-position model. The record is from RNAcentral.